Molecule: ribosomal RNA, 253 nt
Filed under: uncultured bacterium
Lineage: Bacteria
Description: partial 16S ribosomal RNA
Rfam family: Bacterial small subunit ribosomal RNA
Source: RNAcentral
UACGUAGGGUGCAAGCGUUACUCGGAAUUACUGGGCGUAAAGCGUGCGCAGGCGGUUAUGUAAGGCAGAUGUGAAAUGCCCGGGCUUAACCUGGGAACUGCAUUUGUGACUGCAUGGCUAGAGUUUGGCAGAGGGGGGUAGAAUUCCACGUGUAGCAGUGAAAUGCGUAGAUAUGUGGAGGAACACCGAUGGCGAAGGCAGCCCCCUGGGUCAAGACUGACGCUCAUGCACGAAAGCGUGGGGAGCAAACAGG